Molecule: non-coding RNA, 161 nt
Filed under: uncultured Faecousia sp.
Lineage: Bacteria; Bacillati; Bacillota; Clostridia; Eubacteriales; Oscillospiraceae
Description: Lysine riboswitch
Rfam family: Lysine riboswitch aptamer
About the family: Riboswitches are metabolite binding domains within certain messenger RNAs that serve as precision sensors for their corresponding targets. Allosteric rearrangement of mRNA structure is mediated by ligand binding, and this results in modulation of gene expression.
Source: RNAcentral
UAGAUAGAGGCGCGGGAUUCAUCAGUACCGCGGGGCAAGGCCAGGCAGCCGCUCCGGGGGAAAGGGGAUACCGCCGAAGGGAAGUUGCAGGCCUGCUGCACUUUGCCUGGGCCGUCAGAGAAUAUCUGCCGGACUGUCACAGUUUUGUGAAGCGCUAUCGA